UGGAUUGUUUACUCGGUUUGCCGUUUGUUAUUAUACUCUAUAUUUGUUGGUGUAAAUUAACUAGAUGCAUCGAGAGGUCCUUUUGGUGUAAAUUAACUAGAUGUGUCCAGAGUUGUCCUUCCAUUGAUCUGCAAACAUUGUGCAACUUGUUUAGUUCGUAAAAUUUUUGGUUUUUGGCUACCGUAGCACUUUCAUUUUUAUUUGAUAAACAUUGUCCAAUCAUGGAGUAACUAGGCUCAAAAGAUUUAUCUCACAAAUUACAGAUAAACUAUGUAAUUAGUUUUUAUUUUCGCCUAUAUUUAAUACUCUAUGCAUACAAACAAAGAUUCGAUGUGACGGAAAAUCUUAGAAAAUUUUUACGAACUAAACAAGGCCGGCCUUCGGUGAUCUACGUUUCCGCAAACGUGAUACAAUUUCGGUGAUCUUCAGACAAGUAACGUUUCCCAAACAGUGUUGCUCACCUGUUAUUAGGAGG
RNAcentral lists this long non-coding RNA (475 nucleotides) under Sorghum bicolor (sorghum). RNAcentral describes it as "long non-coding RNA (SBIC_LNC013378)". The record is from RNAcentral. Lineage: Eukaryota; Viridiplantae; Streptophyta; Magnoliopsida; Poales; Poaceae.